UAGGGAAUCUUCCACAAUGGGCGAAAGCCUGAUGGAGCAACGCCGCGUGUGUGAUGAAGGGUUUCGGCUCGUAAAACACUGUUGUAAGAGAAGAAUGACAUUGAGAGUAACUGUUCAAUGUGUGACGGUAUCUUACCAGAAAGGAACGGCUAAAUACGUGCCAN
This 164-nucleotide ribosomal RNA is filed under the name uncultured bacterium. RNAcentral's name for it is "partial 16S rRNA". It matches the Rfam family "Bacterial small subunit ribosomal RNA", at positions 355 to 511 of the family's 1533-position model. The record is from RNAcentral.